UAUUGGUCAAUGGCCUAGCGGCUGAACCAGCAACUUGGAGGAAUGUAUAGAGAAAGCUGGUAAAAUGUGAUGUAUCUACAAGUAUUAGUGAUUAAUAUGAGAUUAACUAAGUUAAUUAAAAUUCUAUGUAAAUAUCUGAUUAUGACAGUAUUUGCUUAUGUCUUGACCAAAUCACGUGCCAGCAGUCGCGGUAAGACGUGGAAGAUAAGUGUUAUUCAUGUUUAACAGGUUUAAAGGGUACCUAGACGGUUAGUUAAACACUUAAAUGUAUUAAUUAACUAGAGUUUGAUAUAAGAGGGAUUGAGUACGGUGAGUGUAGAGAUAAAAUUCUAUUAGACCACUAUGGAACUGGUAAAGGCGAAGGCAACCUUCUAUGUAAAAACUGACGUUGAAGGACGAAGGAGA
Molecule: ribosomal RNA, 405 nt
Filed under: Thelotrema lacteum
Lineage: Eukaryota; Fungi; Ascomycota; Lecanoromycetes; Ostropales; Graphidaceae
Description: SSU rRNA
Rfam family: Bacterial small subunit ribosomal RNA
Source: RNAcentral